AAAGAGUCCCGCACGGCGAAGUGCCGGUGAACCGUGUCAGAUCUGGAAGGAAGCAGCACUAAGCCUGUUACUUCGGGUGUUGCGGAUCGGCUCUUUUCGA
RNAcentral lists this signal recognition particle RNA (100 nucleotides) under Ilyobacter polytropus DSM 2926. Its description in RNAcentral is "SRP RNA; RNA component of signal recognition particle". It matches the Rfam family "Bacterial small signal recognition particle RNA". From Rfam's summary of the family: The signal recognition particle (SRP) is a universally conserved ribonucleoprotein involved in the co-translational targeting of proteins to membranes. The record is from RNAcentral. Lineage: Bacteria; Fusobacteriati; Fusobacteriota; Fusobacteriia; Fusobacteriales; Fusobacteriaceae.